Gasterosteus aculeatus (three-spined stickleback) is the source of this 3889-nucleotide long non-coding RNA. The record is from Ensembl. Lineage: Eukaryota; Metazoa; Chordata; Actinopteri; Perciformes; Gasterosteidae.
GUGCCGGUGUCUCCUCCCUCUCACAGGCUCCAGACAUCUAACCACAACAAAAAAACAAAACCGCCUACAAAGAAAGCCAUACAUGCCAUUAUUGAAAAAAAGCUUGCGUUGUAUUCUGAAUAUUUAAUGCUUAAAAAACAAAAUAACUCCAUGCUGCUGUCAAUGCAGUCCCAUCUCUACACAACGGCAGCUUCCAAGGAAGAUGUGGCGAGGCAAGAAAAGUGUGUCGCUACUGAAGAGCCCUCUGCUGCAGCUGGGAAAGCACUUGAAGAAGAGGAAGCUUCUAAAAGCAGCAUGCCAAAUGAUCCUUCUACAGCUGCUUCGGAGAAACCUUCAACAGGUAUACAAGUCACUGCUGUAAAAUGACUAAAGUGCUAACAAAAUCAUAUGUAGUCAAGACUGCAUUGGUAGUUUUUGAAUUGUUGGUAAAAAAACACUUGAUCUUUGCCUGCUAAUAACAAACCUGUUUAUUUAGAUGACUUAAAUUGAUUCAUCUGUAAGUAUAAUGAAAUGGUUUAAAAAGUACUAGAAGAAUAUGGCAUCAUCAACUGCACUGAAAUAACUCCUUUCCAUCCUGGAGAAUAUAGACUGCAUUACCAAGUCUGAGAACAUUUCUAAAGUCAUACUGCAACAAUAUUGGAAUGGGAAUAUGGAUAACCUUAAUCUCUUUGCAUCCACAGAAUAUCCACAAAUGCUGAAAGUUGCUGCCACUUCCACAAAGAAUGAAGCUGAGAGUCUCGGGGUUCUCACAGCAGUGCCUGGAACCACCUGGAAGGACCAGAGGAAGAAGCGGCCAAGUUUCCAGCUCAACCGCAACUUGUCACAAGAAGAAUCCAGGCGUUUGUGGUUAAAUGUCAACACAUAUUCGGAUGACGUGGAAAUAGGGCCUGGUGUCUGUACCGAGAGGGAGAAGGGAUAUGCAGCCCUGAACACUGUGGAGACUGUAGGAUCGGACAAUACAAAGGUUAUUGCUGAUCAUACCAAGUCAAGUUCAGAGUCCGGUCCCAUGGCCUUCGGAUUGUCAUCACUCUCGGAAUAUCAAAAAGCAAAGAAAAAGAUUAACCAUGAGAAUUCUCAUCAUCACAUCUGUAAGGAAGGAACUGCAACUUCAAAUUCUUCAGUUUGUAAAACUGCUAUUCUUAAUAUGCUAUCAAUUCCUACAAACCAAAGUGAACAGCAGAGCAGCCAAACGAGGCGUGCGAGGGAGGACGCUGCUUUUGCAAGUUCACAAGCUAUCUCCGGCACAUCAGUACCCAUUAAGGCGCUCCAAAAACCUGCUCUGCUAUGUGAAGGAAAGGCUGAGAAAGCAUAUGGACUGUAUGAAGACAUUUCAGAUGAUGACAUGCCACAUUUGACCGCCAAACUACCAAACACCGAUCGAUGGGAAUUAAGCUCUCCUGCAAGUUUUGAUGACACAAGUGAAGCAGAAAGUAAGGCUGUAGAAACUGCUACGCCUACUCUUGUAACUGCAACCAGCGACAGGCACUCCCCAGGACAUGGACACGUGCAGGGUCAUGAUUACAUUGACACACUUGCUAUAGCACAACAUUCUCGCUCUUGCUCAUUUUAUUUUGAAACGGAUGAUGGUUUUGAAAGGAGGUUCUGUCCUAAAUGUGAUUGUGGGAGACAAACGGUCCCCUCUGCUUCAUGCAGUCCGUCCUUUGUUUUGAACAGUGAGGAUGAGACUGACGACGAAAUGGAUGACUAUUUAGCCAUACCUAUAAGCGUAAUCCAUCUUAAAUAUGCACCAGAAGAUGAAAACCAGGAUAGCUCCGAAACAAAUGUCCUAGAAGUGGUGGAAACGGGAGCCCAAGAAAGACCGAGGGGCGCAAGUCAAACUGCUUUUCCUUCGCUGCCGGUGUUUGACACGGAGGAGUGCUUCCUGCGAGCUGUGCAAUGCGAGUUUACGUUGGGCAGUAGCCUCCUUGUACAUGAAACGGACUCUGAGGAAGCUGUAUCAACACCUCAGAAGAGAAGAGAGUCUGUAGACAGCUCUGACACUGUGGACAGUUGUGAUUACUCCUCUGCAUCAGAACACAACUUUUUGACUGUGCCCAGGAAGAUGAUGAGGAAAGGCUCAGCAACUGUGCCCUCAGCGACAGAUGAUUUUAUGUCUGAAGAAGAGGGUAAGGACAAUAGGGUCACAAAUAUCCUAAAAGACCAAAUGAGCCCUAAAGGGGCUAAACAUAGACGGAUGUCUGAAGCCAAACACAGUGGCUCCAAGCAGAUUUCAACUGUAGAGAGGGAGGACAUAAUAGUCUUGGAUUCUGACACGGAGGAUGAAAGUGUUGAAAUAUGCAAAGCCACUCUUAAAAGAAAGCGGAAACGAGGGUGCACAGCAAGCGCAGACAUUGCUGAUGCCUCAUGCAGUCAACAAAAGAGACAUUCGCCUAGAACUGAAUCUCAAAAGAACACACAUGCAUCUGCUUGCUUACCAACAGCACCACGCCAAUCCAGAGAUGAUGCGGUGUAUGAAGAAGAGAUGCAGGACACGUUCGCUGAUGUGUCACAGAGUACAGGGAAGAGGGAGCAGUUUAUUCAAACCAAAGAUGUUCAACACAAGACCCACAUACAAAAGAGUUCCGCAGUAGAGGGGGUAAUAAUAAUCAUCGACUCUGAUGCAGAGGAUGACAACCCCCAAAACUGUGAAGAGUUUAGCAGGGAAAUAUCUGCCGUCUCAGCCAACGGCAAGGCCCCACGUGUUGGAUUCGAAACUGCGUACAGAGGGUGUGGACCUGCUGAGGCAAAGCUCCAAGAAACUGGACUUUCUUUAGCAGACUCGCCACAACGCCAGUCUGACCUUCAUGACACACAUUUCAGAGGAGUAACAGAGGCUGCGUGCUCCUACCUGUCUCUCAGUCAGCAGCUGGUAGAAGCUAAAGGGGUCUCUGCGCAGGUACCGCACCAGGCACACAAACUAUUGUCAAAAAGCGUGGUAGGUCAUCAUGCUUCUAAAGAAGUGGUUAAAGGCAAUUCCAGCAAAAAGGCCAUUCCAGAAGAAAUUACCUCAUCAGGAUCAGAUGGUAACCGUGAUGUUACACAAAGCAGAUCAGGUGAAUCUGCCAGGAUUCAGGCAGGUGAAUCUGCAGACCGUCUUUGUGGAACUGCUAAUGCAGAGCCUGUGAUCCCUCGCUUUCUUGCACAGCCUUCUGGAAACACAGCAUGCUUGACACUUUUAAGAGAACCUGUAGUUCACAAGCCGCGUAAAGAUAAAUCUCUGUCAGUCCAGACCCCCACUUCAUCCAGCAAAAAGGUAACAUUCUGUGAAAACAAUAAAGUAAUAUAUCUGCUCCCACCCGAAGCUGCAAUGGUGUCAAGACGGCGCUCCUUACCUCCGCAGGAAGGCCCAUCCACCUCCUUCAUUAGUUCGUCCUCCGCAGGUGAACAUUGUCAUGUAGGCAAACAAAGGUCUGCUUACUCAAAAGGUUUGUCUCCACUAAAGGGCUUUAGUCUUCCAUUUAAUCCCAGAGAACAAUCGUGUCCACCUAAACGGCGGUGGUCUUACAGCAGCCCUGCAACGUCAUCCAAGCCCACAAAAGGCCCAGCACAGACCGUGCAGCUCAAUGCCACUGGCUAUGUAAAGGAACAAGUGAAUGGCGCGUCUCCAAACAGUCCUUUGUCACGCGACAUCAGACGCAGACCUGGUCUCCAUGACAAGCCUGGUAGGGAAAGGGCUCCCAGAAAGAAGCGCCAGUCCCACAAGACUCCAACCACCAUGAUGAAGAAAGCCACCAAUGAUGCCAUUCAGUGGACAAAGAACAGAAAACAGGCCUCCCAAAAAGAAAGAAACUCAGUGGGUGAGGGUUACAAGUGGGCAGAGAAGUCAAACGUGGCAAAGCCAACCAAAGCUAUCCUCGUAGGUCCCAGCAGGGAGAGGAAGGGGAGAUGA